CGUAGGUGGCAAGCGUUGUCCGUAAUUAUUGGCGUAAGGGCGCGUAGGCGGUCCCUUAAGUCAGAUGUGAAUCCCGAGGCUUAACCUCGGGCGUGCAUUUGAAACUGGGGACUAGAGUGCAGGAGAGGUAAGUGGAAUUCCUAGUGUAGCGGUGAAAUGCGUAGAUAUUAGGAGGAACACCAGUGGCGAAGGCGACUUACUGGACUGUAACUGACGCUGAGGCGCGAAAGCGUGGGAGCAAACAGGAUU
Molecule: ribosomal RNA, 249 nt
Filed under: uncultured bacterium
Lineage: Bacteria
Description: partial 16S ribosomal RNA
Rfam family: Bacterial small subunit ribosomal RNA
Source: RNAcentral